Molecule: ribosomal RNA, 495 nt
Filed under: uncultured bacterium
Lineage: Bacteria
Description: partial 16S ribosomal RNA
Rfam family: Bacterial small subunit ribosomal RNA
Source: RNAcentral
GAUGAACGCUGGCGGCGUGCCUAAUACAUGCAAGUCGAGCGAACAGACGAGGAGCUUGCUCCUCUGACGUUAGCGGCGGACGGGUGAGUAACACGUGGAUAACCUACCUAUAAGACUGGGAUAACUUCGGGAAACCGGAGCUAAUACCGGAUAAUAUAUUGAACCGCAUGGUUCAAUAGUGAAAGACGGUUUUGCUGUCACUUAUAGAUGGAUCCGCGCCGCAUUAGCUAGUUGGUAAGGUAACGGCUUACCAAGGCAACGAUGCGUAGCCGACCUGAGAGGGUGAUCGGCCACCCUGGAACUGAGACACGGUCCAGACUCCUACGGGAGGCAGAAGUAGGGAAUCUUCCGCAAUGGGCGAAAGCCUGACGGAGCAACGCCGCGUGAGUGAUGAAGGUCUUCGGAUCGUAAAACUCUGUUAUUAGGGAAGAACAAAUGUGUAAGUAACUAUGCACGUCUUGACGGUACCUAAUCAGAAAGCCACGGCUAACUACG